RNAcentral lists this long non-coding RNA (269 nucleotides) under Elaeis guineensis (African oil palm). RNAcentral's name for it is "long non-coding RNA (EGUI_LNC008095)". Lineage: Eukaryota; Viridiplantae; Streptophyta; Magnoliopsida; Arecales; Arecaceae. The record is from RNAcentral.
CCCAAUAAAAACUUUCGAGUCAUUAAUGGUUUUGCUAAACGAUAGUUAACUAUAGUUAGUCAUUAAUGAAAAAUUAGCUGAUGUAUAGGAUUUUUAUUAGUUUUGUCUGCAUCCUACGUGGUAGAAUAGAUCUAUCUAAUAGUUUCUCGUGAAAAAGACUCUCACUAAAAGCUCCAGGAGUACCAUAUGAUAUACCUAAUUGCUUGGUGUCGUUAUCCAAGGUAACCUGUAUUCUAGACAGUUCUGUUAUUCCAAACAACUAAGUUCCC